ACAGCAGUCGCCGCGGGAAUACGAAGGGGGCUAGCGUUGCUCGGAAUUACUGGGCGUAAAGGGAGCGUAGGCGGACAUUUAAGUCAGGGGUGAAAUCCCAGAGCUCAACUCUGGAACUGCCUUUGAUACUGGGUGUCUUGAGUGUGAUAGAGGUAUGUGGAACUCCGAGUGUAGAGGUGAAAUUCGUAGAUAUUCGGAAGAACACCAGUGGCGAAGGCGACAUACUGGAUCAUUACUGACGCUGAGGCUCGAAAGCGUGGGGAGCAAACAGGAUUAGAUACCCGGGUAGUCCCUGUCUCUUAUAC
Molecule: ribosomal RNA, 305 nt
Filed under: uncultured bacterium
Lineage: Bacteria
Description: partial 16S ribosomal RNA
Rfam family: Bacterial small subunit ribosomal RNA
Source: RNAcentral